CCAAUAGCGUAUAUUAAAGUUGUUGCAGUUAAAAAGCUCGUAGUUGAAUUUCGGGAUUAGCAGGUCGGUCGUGCCACUGGUACGUACUGGUCUUGCUGAUUCCUCCCUCUUGACGAGCCGUAAUGCCAUUAAUUUGGUGUUGCGGGGAAUCAGGACUGUUACUUUGAAAAAAUUAGAGUGUUUAAAGCAGGCAUGCGCUUGAAUACAUUAGCAUGGAAUAAUGAAAUAGGACGUUCGAUCUUAUUUUGUUGGUUUCUAGGAUUGACGUAAUGAUUAAUAGGGAUAGUUGGGGGCAUUAGUAUUCAAUUGUCAGAGGUGAAAUUCUUGGAUUUAUUGAAGACUAACUACUGCGAAAGCAUUUGCCAAGGAUGUUUUCAUUAAUCAAGAACGAAAGUUAGGGGAUCGAAGACGAUCAGAUACCGUCGUAGUCUUAACCAUAAACUAUGCCGACUAGGGAUCGGAUGAUGUUAAUUUUUUAAUGACUCAUUCGGCGCCUUACG
RNAcentral lists this ribosomal RNA (500 nucleotides) under uncultured Glomeromycotina. Its description in RNAcentral is "partial small subunit ribosomal RNA". It matches the Rfam family "Eukaryotic small subunit ribosomal RNA", at positions 591 to 1092 of the family's 1831-position model. Lineage: Eukaryota; Fungi; Glomeromycota. The record is from RNAcentral.